AGCGAACGCUGGCGGCAGGCUUAACACAUGCAAGUCGAGCGGGCCUUCUUGUUGUGUCAGCGGCAGACGGGUGAGUAACGCGUGGGAACGUGCCCUUCGGUUCGGAAUUAAUCAGGGAAAAUUUAGCUAAUACCGGAUAUGCCCCUUUGGGGAAAGGUUUACUGCCGAAGGAUCGGCCCGCGUCUGAUUAGCUAGUUGGUGAGGUUAUGGCUCACCGAGGCGACGAUCAGUAGCUGGUCUGAGAGGAUGAUCAGCCACACUGGGACUGAGACACGGCCCAGACUCCUACGGGAGGCAGCAGUGGGGAAUAUUGGACAAUGGGGGCAACCCUGAUCCAGCCAUGCCGCGUGAGUGAUGACGGCCUUAGGGUUGUAAAGCUCUUUUCUCCGGGACGAUAAUGACGGUACCGGAGGAAUAAGCCCCGGCUAACUUCGUG
Molecule: ribosomal RNA, 436 nt
Filed under: uncultured bacterium
Lineage: Bacteria
Description: partial 16S ribosomal RNA
Rfam family: Bacterial small subunit ribosomal RNA
Source: RNAcentral